This is a non-coding RNA of Sus scrofa (pig), 1442 nucleotides long. NCBI's taxonomy places the organism in Eukaryota, Metazoa, Chordata, Mammalia, Artiodactyla, Suidae. The record is from RefSeq and is a predicted model, not a curated record.
CCCACAACAUCAUGGUUCCUAGUCAGAUUCAUUAACCACUAAGCCACCACGGGAACUCCCCACACCACCUUUCUUCCCCAGCCUGGGUACUGCCCCUGACCAGGGUACUGCCCCUGGCUGCCAACUUUCUCAGAUGCUCACCUCCUCUGUGGUUCUAGGGCUAUAGCUGAGAUCUGGGAGCAGAUGAGGCAGAGGCUGACCCAUAGAGGGCACAGAGGCAGGGCAGGAACAGAUAUGGGGUUGUCCUAGCUCUGUGCAGGCAAGGGGUCCAGCUGAGGGAUCCAGGAGGACCAGCAAAGGCCCAGGCUAGAAGGACCCUUUCGAUCCUGUUUCUCCCUCCAACUUACAGAUGGCGAGACAAAAACAGAGAGAGAAACUGGGCCUGGGACCCACUGGGAGGCAGGGGUCACCCUGCCCACUGGUCUGGAGAAUUGCUACUUGCAGGGCUUCAGAGGCAGCUAGAAGCUCCUGUCCUCCUGGUUCUGGAGCCCUUGAUGCUCGACGCCGCACCAGCUCCUGUUCCCUGAGGACACAGUCCAAAGCCUGAGGGUCCACCAAUGGAUCUGCCCCCCCUACCCCUGGGGUUCCCAGAGAGCAGCUGAGGCAAAAGACAAGAAGCCACCACCCAUCCAUACCCUCCAUGCAAGGUCCUAAAGAUGAGGCCCUCAGUCAGAGUGAAACAGUAGCCAAGCACUAACAGCAUUCAAGCUCCUGGGAGUGGAUGUGCUACACUGUUUAUCACUCGCAGCUGCAUGUUAUAUCAAAUUGUUUCCUGAGCUUCAUCAGAAGUGCAGGCAGUGCCUUGCUGGUGGAACCCCGGAUAAAUAGACUUUGAGACUAAAGCCCCACACACAUUUGAUAUUGGGCUUUAAUACUGACUCAUCCAAACUGGACCUGAGGUAUCAGGAAGUUCAGGGGGACUGGAAACAAGCUCUGUGCAGUGUGCAUUGUCUGCAUGAUCCUCAUCGCGUUUUUUGAGGGUCCUGCCUGGGACUGCACCUUGACCCGAAGACAGGACAGAUGUCUGGCUGCCAGGUGCUGGGAGAGGCUGAUGGAACAGCACUAGGGGGAAGGUGCAAGAUGGUGUCUUUCUGCCCCUCCAGACUGUACAGCUGCUGCAGGUGCUCCAAGCCGACCCCUAGCUGCCGGUGGCUCUGGCCCAGCUCUUCUGAGAGUCUCCAUUCACCUGAGAAGACCCCAACUCCACCCAGAGUCACAGCUCAGCCUCAGGUGAGGGAGCUCCCCUGGCUGGGAUCUGUCUGCUCAAGCUAGCCUGCGGGCCUUUAUUCAUGCAGCUCCCUCCUCCCGAGUUCCUCAUCUCUGAUCUCUGCAGCCUCUGAGACUCAGUCUUUCCCAGAGGCCUCCUCUGGAGUUCCCGUUGUGGCUCAGCGGUAACAGACCCGGCUAGUAUCCAUGAGGAUGCAGAUGCUCUCUGGCCUCGC